AGAGUUUGAUCCUGGCUCAGGACGAACGCUGGCGGCGUGCUUUAGACAUGCAAGUCGAACGCGAAAGCCCUUCGGGGUGAGUAGAGUGGCGAACGGGUGAGUAACACGUGGGUAACCUGCCCCUCGCAGGGGGACAACCGGGGGAAACCCCGGCUAAUACCCCGUACGCUCCGAGGUCCGCAUGGUCCUCGGAGAAGAGGUAGCUUCGGCCAUCCGGCGAGGGAUGGGCCCGCGGUCCAUUAGCUAGUUGGUGGGGUAACGGCUCACCAAGGCGACGAUGGAUAGCUGGUCUGAGAGGAUGAUCAGCCACACUGGGACUGACAUACGGGUCAGACUCCUACGGGAGGCAGCAGUCGGGAAUUUUGGGCAAUGGGCGAAAGCCUGACCCAGCAACGCCGCGUGAAGGAUGAAAUUUUUCGGAAUGUAAACUUCGCAAGAACGGGAAGAAUAAGUAGAAGCUAAUACCUUCUAUGAUGACGGUACCGUUUGUAAGCUCCGGCUAACUCCGUGCCAGCAGCCGCGGUAAUACAGAGGGGGCAAGCGUUGUCCGGAUUUACUGGGCGUACAGCGCGCGCAGGCGGCGCGCGACGUGCCGUGUGACAGUCGGGGGCUCAACCCCCGCCGGCCACGGUAGACGCGCGUGCUGGAGGCAGGGAGAGGGAGGUGGAAUGCCCGGUGGAGCGGUGAAAUGCGUAGAGAUCGGGAGGAACACCAGUAGCGAAGGCGGCUCGCUGGGCCAUUCCUGACGCUGAGACGCGAAAGCGUGGGGAGCAAACAGGAUUAGAUACCCCGGUAGUCC
This 799-nucleotide ribosomal RNA is filed under the name uncultured Rubrobacter sp. RNAcentral's name for it is "bacterial SSU rRNA". It matches the Rfam family "Bacterial small subunit ribosomal RNA", at positions 8 to 796 of the family's 1533-position model. The record is from RNAcentral. Lineage: Bacteria; Bacillati; Actinomycetota; Rubrobacteria; Rubrobacterales; Rubrobacteraceae.